GGCCACGUAGCCAAGUAGUAAGGCAACUGUCUGCAAAACAGUUAUGCGCGAGUGCAAUUCUCGCCGUGGCCU
This 72-nucleotide transfer RNA is filed under the name Candidatus Amesiibacteriota bacterium. RNAcentral describes it as "Candidatus Amesbacteria bacterium (sediment metagenome) tRNA-Cys". It matches the Rfam family "tRNA". From Rfam's summary of the family: Transfer RNA (tRNA) molecules are approximately 80 nucleotides in length. Their secondary structure includes four short double-helical elements and three loops (D, anti-codon, and T loops). Further hydrogen bonds mediate the characteristic L-shaped molecular structure. tRNAs have two regions of fundamental functional importance: the anti-codon, which is responsible for specific mRNA codon recognition, and the 3' end, to which the tRNAs corresponding amino acid is attached (by aminoacyl-tRNA synthetases). tRNAs cope with the degeneracy of the genetic code in two manners: having more than one tRNA (with a specific anti-codon) for a particular amino acid; and 'wobble' base-pairing, i.e. permitting non-standard base-pairing at the 3rd anti-codon position. The record is from RNAcentral. Lineage: Bacteria; Candidatus Amesiibacteriota.